GGAUGGUUAGCUCAGCUGGGAGAGCAUCGCCCUUACAAGGCGAGGGUCACUGGUUCGAGCCCAGUACCAUCCACCA
RNAcentral lists this transfer RNA (76 nucleotides) under Alkalimonas collagenimarina. RNAcentral describes it as "tRNA-Val". It matches the Rfam family "tRNA". Rfam says of the family: Transfer RNA (tRNA) molecules are approximately 80 nucleotides in length. Their secondary structure includes four short double-helical elements and three loops (D, anti-codon, and T loops). Further hydrogen bonds mediate the characteristic L-shaped molecular structure. tRNAs have two regions of fundamental functional importance: the anti-codon, which is responsible for specific mRNA codon recognition, and the 3' end, to which the tRNAs corresponding amino acid is attached (by aminoacyl-tRNA synthetases). tRNAs cope with the degeneracy of the genetic code in two manners: having more than one tRNA (with a specific anti-codon) for a particular amino acid; and 'wobble' base-pairing, i.e. permitting non-standard base-pairing at the 3rd anti-codon position. RNAcentral also lists the same sequence under 6 other names. Lineage: Bacteria; Pseudomonadati; Pseudomonadota; Gammaproteobacteria. The record is from RNAcentral.